This 253-nucleotide ribosomal RNA is filed under the name uncultured bacterium. RNAcentral's name for it is "partial 16S ribosomal RNA". It matches the Rfam family "Bacterial small subunit ribosomal RNA", at positions 524 to 776 of the family's 1533-position model. The record is from RNAcentral.
UACGGAGGGUGCAAGCGUUGCUCGGAUUUAUUGGGCGUAAAGGGUAGGUAGGUGGUCUUAUUUGUCUAGGGUGAAAUCUCCGAGCUUAACUUGGAAACUGCCAUUGAUACUAUCAGUCUUGAAUACCGUAGAGGUCAGCGGAAUAUGUCAUGUAGCGGUGAAAUGCUUAGAUAUGACAUAGAACACCAAUUGCGAAGGCAGCUGACUACGCGAAUAUUGACACUGAUGCACGAAAGCGUGGGGAUCAAACAGG